RNAcentral lists this ribosomal RNA (402 nucleotides) under uncultured bacterium. RNAcentral's name for it is "bacterial SSU rRNA". It matches the Rfam family "Bacterial small subunit ribosomal RNA", at positions 28 to 440 of the family's 1533-position model. The record is from RNAcentral.
GAUGAACGCUGGCGGCGUGCCUAACACAUGCAAGUCGAGCGAUUUACUUCGGUAAAGAGCGGCGGACGGGUGAGUAACGCGUGGGUAACCUGCCCUGUACACACGGAUAACAUACCGAAAGGUAUGCUAAUACGAGAUAAUAUACUUUUAUCUCAUGGUAGAAGUAUCAAAGCUCUGGCGGUACAGGAUGGACCCGCGUCUGAUUAGCUAGUUGGUAAGGUAACGGCUUACCAAGGCGACGAUCAGUAGCCGACCUGAGAGGGUGAUCGGCCACAUUGGAACUGAGACACGGUCCAAACUCCUACGGAGGCAGCAGUGGGGAAUAUUGCACAAUGGGCGAAAGCCUGAUGCAGCAACGCCGCGUGAGCGAUGAAGGCCUUCGGGUCGUAAAGCUCUGUCCUC